This 442-nucleotide ribosomal RNA is filed under the name uncultured bacterium. Its description in RNAcentral is "partial 16S ribosomal RNA". It matches the Rfam family "Bacterial small subunit ribosomal RNA", at positions 338 to 795 of the family's 1533-position model. The record is from RNAcentral.
CCUACGGGGGGCAGCAGUGGGGAAUAUUGGGCAAUGGGCGCAAGCCUGACCCAGCAACGCCGCGUGAAGGAAGAAGGCUUUCGGGUUGUAAACUUCUUUUAAGGGGGAAGAGCAGAAGACGGUACCCCUUGAAUAAGCCACGGCUAACUACGUGCCAGCAGCCGCGGUAAUACGUAGGCGGCAAGCGUUGUACGGAUUUACUGGGUGUAAAGGGCGUGCAGCCGGAGAGACAAGUCAGAUGUGAAAUCCACGGGUUCAACCCGUGAACUGCAUUUGAAACUGGUUCCCUUGAGUGUCGGAGAGGUGAUCAGAAUUCCUUGUGUAGCGGUGAAAUGCGUAGAUAUAAGGAAGAACACCAGUGGCGAAGGCGGAUUACUGGACGAUAACUGACGGUGAGGCGCGAAAGCGUGGGGAGCAAACAGGAUUAGAUACCCGAGUAGUC